This 450-nucleotide ribosomal RNA is filed under the name uncultured bacterium. RNAcentral's name for it is "bacterial SSU rRNA". It matches the Rfam family "Bacterial small subunit ribosomal RNA", at positions 354 to 796 of the family's 1533-position model. The record is from RNAcentral.
GUGGGGAAUUUUGGACAAUGGGGGCAACCCUGAUCCAGCCAUGCCGCGUGCGGGAAGAAGGCCUUCGGGUUGUAAACCGCUUUUGUCAGGGAAGAAAUCCUUUGGGUUAAUACCUCGGAGGGAUGACGGUACCUGAAGAAUAAGCACCGGCUAACUACGUGCCAGCAGCCGCGGUAAUACGUAGGGUGCGAGCGUUAAUCGGAAUUACUGGGCGUAAAGCGUGCGCAGGCGGUUUUGUAAGAUCGAUGUGAAAUCCCCGGGCCCAACCUGGGAACUGCAUUGGUGACUGCAAGGCUGGAGUGCGGCAGAGGGGGAUGGAAUUCCGCGUGUAGCAGUGAAAUGCGUAGAUAUGCGGAGGAACACCGAUGGCGAAGGCAAUCCCCUGGGCCUGCACUGACGCUCAUGCACGAAAGCGUGGGGAGCAAACAGGAUUAGAUACCCUGGUAGUCC